UCAGAUUCUAACAGAACUGAAACUUCUACAAUCGGGAGCGUCCAUGGCAGAUCGUUUCUUCACCAUAACUCCAAAGUUCUGCUGUAUAACGCUUUCGCCAAAAUCCUCUCGGUUCAGCUCCCUCUCGCAACAGCCAUACCUAAAUUUUUCCCCAAAUUUCACCGAUGGGCGGAGCCAAAUUUGGUUAACUAGGGUUGAGAUCAGUAAUGCGGGUGGUAUUUGCAGUCGUAUGGCCGGCGGCGGUGUGGGGAGCGAUAAGCUGUAGUCCGAUGAACGGAAGCGUGCCGAUUAAUACGACUUUCAACUCCUGGAACUCCAUUGGUGUUCCAAACGAGGCAUCGGAGAAGAGAGGGGUGAAAUUUGGCAGAAUUUGAUCCUAUAAAAUGGUUGGAUAAAUCAUGAUACAUAUAUGCUCACAGUUUGGAGAAUAUCAGAAGGACCUCCCUUCUUUCAGUUUCUAUAUUUCCUCAGGCAUUCACAACUUGUCCAGGGUAGCUGAUAGAAUUCUUCUUUUGGAUUCAUAUUUCACUGAUGGUGUCUUUCAUGGUGCAAAUUAUCAGGUGUAAGAAACAGCAGCCAGCAAUUAAGCAGGAGGGAGGGGUAUGCAUUCUGUACGUCCAAAUCAGCAGGCAAUGAAAUGCAAUAUCUGGUAAAGUAACUACUCUCGUCUCGUGUCUCAUUUUAUUCAUCAGAGCUUUGUUCUGAAAAGUGCAUAGAAUGUCUUGCCAUGGUUGAGAGUUAGAUAGAUUUUUAUUUUUAUUUUUAUUUUUUAAUUAAUAUUUAAUUUAUAAUGUAAUAUACGUCCUUCUUAUCAUGAAUUUUUAAAUAUGAUCAAAAUAUAUAAUCAUAUUUUUUUUAAAAAAAAAAGACAAAAAACGAACCUAAAUAAAAAAAGGGAUAAUUAUAUGGAGGGAGUUAGUAUAAUAUAUAAAGAGGUUUAAAAGAAAUUUAAUAAUAUGACUAAUAGUUUUCUUAAAAUAAAUAUGGACAUUUUUUAGAAACAAAGUUUUAUAUGAUAUAUUAUUAUUUUUUAUUAAACGUGGAAUUGUGAAUGUAUGUGAAGAGAACGUGUAAAUAUAAUACUCCUUCCGUAAACGUAUAGUCUUAUUGUGUUGGACACCAUAGGAAUAUUGAUACUCCCUCCGUCCACAAAAAUACAAUUAUUUUUGGCGUGGUGUUUAAGAAAUGAUAGUAUUUUAAUUAUAGUGGGUAGUUAAAAGUAAUGUAAUGACAUUUUUGCCCUUGCUUUUUGGUGUAAAAGUAAUGAUGUGAUGUAAAGUAAGAAUAUUUGUGGAAAAAAGUAAGGUAUUUAAUGAAAUGUUUACUUUGUAAUUGGACGUCCCAAAAUAGAAACAUCUAUACUUUCUAGCUGGACGGGGGAGUAUUAUAUUGGUAGUCCUUAAGAAAUAAAGAUAAAUGAUUUUUUUUUGUCUUGUGUAAAAAGUAGUGGUAAUUGUGUAAAAAUAAUGAAAAAAUAAGAAUUGUUUUACAGUAAUAUGAUUAUUUAUAGAAAUAAACCUAUUUGGUACAAAUAAAAAUGGUAAACAUUUUGGGACGGAGGGAGUAGUUUUUUAGAAAUUUUAUACUAACAUGGUUAA
Long non-coding RNA from Andrographis paniculata, 1598 nucleotides. RefSeq lists it as uncharacterized. Lineage: Eukaryota; Viridiplantae; Streptophyta; Magnoliopsida; Lamiales; Acanthaceae. The record is from RefSeq and is a predicted model, not a curated record. The transcript has 4 exons.